AGCAGUGAACCCCAAUUAGCGGCCCGCGGGCCAGAUCCGGCCCGCAAGAGCAAAAUGUCCGGCCCGCGCAGACCCACAUGUCACAUGUCAUCUCCAAAAAAAAAAAAAAAAAAUUUUUUUUUUUUUUUUUUUUUAUUUGCGCGGUCUGCUAUAUUUUCCCCUCAGCCCACACCAUCCACUUGACCGUUGACGUUACUGCGUGCUGACGUAAUAACGUGCUUCGUGCGUCACUUUCCCGCUAUCCAAAAAUCAACGGAUUGAAAAUUGAUGAAAGAAACAUGUCAUUUGCCAUGAAAAGGAAGGUCAACCAGGAGAACCGCCAGUUUAAAACUGAAUGGACCGAUGAGUAUUGCUUUUCUUUACCGGACCAUGCCAACGCAAAGCCGACAUGCUUAAUAUGCAAGCAGAGGGUGGCUGUCAUUAAAUCGGACAACCUGACACAAACUGUUUGCAUGCUGCCAGCUUUAAUGGAAGUUUCCCAGAAAAAUCUGAGCAACGCAAACCAAAGAUUGCAAGCAUGUUGACAUCAUACAAGCGGUCAGUUUUAACCAUAUGCAAAACGGCAUCGGCACAAGAGAGCGCAACAGCUGCUUCAUUGCAUGUUUUCUGGAUGCUUGAUAAAGCUAAGAAGCCCUUUGCUGAUGCAGAGUUCAUUAAACAAUGUGCAAUUCACAUGGCUGGUGAAAUCUUAAAUCAAGAGGAAAAAAUCUAAACAAAAGUUGUGGAGCUAUGAAAGCAGGUGCCGAGGAAAUGUCAGCUGAACACAAAGAUCUGUUGCUGCACAACGAUGUUCGCUGGCUGAGUAAAGGCCGUGUGUUGGAGAGGGUGUGCGACCUGCGUGAUGAACGUGUGUCAUUUUUAUCCAGCCUGCAGAGCCCAAAAGCCCGCGAAUUUCUGGCGGGCUGACGCCAAGGUGUUGGCAGAUGUUAAUUUUUUGUGACAUCAUGUCUCAUCUGAAUCACCUUAACCUGCAGCUACAAGGCAAGAACCACACUGUUGCUGACAUGUACGAAGCGAUUGAAGCCCUCCAGUCGAAGCUGGAUGCUAUUUAAACCUAAUUGAUCUAGCCCUCCUGCAUUAUCGCAAAAACAGUAAUUAUAAUUAAAGCUAAAUUUGCACAUAAAAAUGGCGAAUUAGAAAAAUGAAACGACAUUUCGGCCCUUGGCAUGGCAUGUUUGACCAAAUUUGGCCCUCUGGAAAAACUAAUUGGGGAACCCUGCCCUAGAGCUAUGCUCUUGGAUCUAUGUGCUGAACUGGGUCCAGGAUUGGAAAGGGCAACACGUAGGAACCACGCAAUCCCGGUGCAGACGCAGGUCCUCAACACUUUGGGGUUCCUGGCAACCGGCUGUUUCAAACGGGAAUUGGCAGACAGAUCCGGUAGGCCUAUAUCACAGCCAUCCCUCAGUGCCCUAAUGCCCAGCGUUUUGAAUGGCAUCAUACAUAUGGGCAGUCGAUACAUAAGGUUUCCCUACACAGUGGAAGAACAGGCCGAGAUUAAAAGGCAAUUUGCAGCAAUGUCUGAUUUCCCAAACGUAAUCGGCGCAAUUGACUGCACUCAUAUUGCUAUAAGGGCUCCAUCUGAACAUGAGUUCGCUUACGUCAACCGCAAGCACGUGCACACUAUUAAUGUUCAAGUUGUAUGUGAUUCCCAUAUGAACUUGACAAACAUAGUGGCACGUUGGCCUGGUGCAACACAUGAUUCCUUUAUUCUGACGCACAAUAGUGUAGGGAACAGACUACAGGCAGGCGCGGGGCGGGAUGGCUGGCUUCUAGGGGACAGUGGAUACCCCCUGAGACGCUGGCUCCGUCCUCACCCCAGUUUUGAACGCGCAAAGCGCCGAGGAACAACGAUAUAAUGAGGUCCAUGGCCGUGCUCGUUCAGUGGUGGAGCGCGCCAUCGGCCUCCUGAAGUGCCGGUGGCGCGCUCUGGAUGCGUCGGGGGGAGGCUUUUAUACCAGCCUGCCAAAGUGUGCCGCAUUAUAAGGGCUUGUGGCGUGCUGCACAAUUUGUCCCAGAGGAACGGCAUCCCUCUCCCCCCCGACCUCCCUCCCCCCGAGCUUGACCCGGAGGCCCAGCCCCCUCCGAGGCAAGUCGGAUUUCAACAGGGUGCAAGAGUAGGCCUACGUGCGGAUGACAUGCGGCGUUUAUGAAAUGUAGACGACUCAAGCUGCAGAACUGCGUCUGUGAGGACCCGACCAGCGGACUGACGCUUGGUGCUGGGGCUGGGGGCAGCCGGAUGACCAGCGGCCGAGGGCCCCUCGCCGGCAUCAUCGUCCUCCUCCCCAACGACCGCUGACUCUGGAGGACGCACAAGCAAAAUAGCUUGCACUAGGCCUAGCCUACAUGAUCGAUAAUAAAUCAAUAAAAAACAAAUCAGCUUUACCUUGUUCUUCUGUGUUGUC
Molecule: long non-coding RNA, 2402 nt
Organism: Gadus chalcogrammus (walleye pollock)
Lineage: Eukaryota; Metazoa; Chordata; Actinopteri; Gadiformes; Gadidae
Exons: 4
Source: RefSeq, a predicted model, not a curated record